Molecule: ribosomal RNA, 439 nt
Filed under: uncultured bacterium
Lineage: Bacteria
Description: partial 16S ribosomal RNA
Rfam family: Bacterial small subunit ribosomal RNA
Source: RNAcentral
CUACGGGGCGCUCCAGUGGGGAAUAUUGCACAAUGGACGAAAGUCUGAUGCAGCAACGCCGCGUGGAGGAUGACACAUUUCGGUGCGUAAACUCCUUUUAUAUAGGAAGAUAAUGACGGUACUAUAUGAAUAAGCACCGGCUAACUCCGUGCCAGCAGCCGCGGUAAUACGGAGGGUGCAAGCGUUACUCGGAAUUACUGGGCGUAAAGAGCGUGUAGGCGGGUUUGUAAGUUGGAUGUGAAAUCCUAUGGCUCAACCAUAGAACUGCAUCCAAAACUGCUUACCUAGAAUAUGGGAGAGGUAGAUGGAAUUUCUGGUGUAGGGGUAAAAUCCGUAGAGAUCAGAAGGAAUACCGAUUGCGAAGGCGAUCUACUGGAACAUUAUUGACGCUGAGACGCGAAAGCGUGGGGAGCAAACAGGAUUAGAUACCCGUGUAGUC